GAUGAACGCUGGCGGCGUGCUUAACACAUGCAAGUCGAACGAUGAUCCCAGCUUGCUGGGGGAUUAGUGGCGAACGGGUGAGUAACACGUGAGUAACCUGCCCUUAACUCUGGGAUAAGCCUGGGAAACUGGGUCUAAUACCGGAUAUGACUCCUCAUCGCAUGGUGGGGGGUGGAAAGCUUUAUUGUGGUUUUGGAUGGACUCGCGGCCUAUCAGCUUGUUGGUGAGGUAAUGGCUCACCAAGGCGACGACGGGUAGCCGGCCUGAGAGGGUGACCGGCCACACUGGGACUGAGACACGGCCCAGACUCCUACGGGAGGCAGCAGUGGGGAAUAUUGCACAAUGGGCGAAAGCCUGAUGCAGCGACGCCGCGUGAGGGAUGACGGCCUUCGGGUUGUAAACCUCUUUCAGUAGGGAAGAAGCGAAAGUGACGGUACCUGCAGAAGAAGCGCCGGCUAACUACGUGCCAGCAGCCGCGGUAAUACGUAGGGCGCAAGCGUUAUCCGGAAUUAUUGGGCGUAAAGAGCUCGUAGGCGGUUUGUCGCGUCUGCCGUGAAAGUCCGGGGCUCAACUCCGGAUCUGCGGUGGGUACGGGCAGACUAGAGUGAUGUAGGGGAGACUGGAAUUCCUGG
RNAcentral lists this ribosomal RNA (632 nucleotides) under uncultured soil bacterium. Its description in RNAcentral is "bacterial SSU rRNA". It matches the Rfam family "Bacterial small subunit ribosomal RNA", at positions 28 to 673 of the family's 1533-position model. The record is from RNAcentral.